UCUAGACAGCGCCGAGCUCUGCUACUGCUACAUAUCUCAUCGAUCACUAGUGCGCAAGCUCUUGGAUUAUCCAUGGUCAUAAGCAUCUUCUAGCUCGGUCGCGCGGCACGAGAGGAUGUUCCGAGCAGUGAAGCAUGCCGUCGUCUUGGCGAAGAAGAGCCGAGCUGAGCCCGCGGCCUUGUCUGCCUUCGCCAGCCACUUCUCCGCGGCUUCCACCUCGCAGAGGUUGGCCGGGAAGGUGGCCGUGAUCACCGGCGGCGCCAGCGGCCUCGGCAAGGCGACUGCCGCGGAGUUCGUCCGGAACGGCGCCAAGGUCAUCCUCGCCGACGUCCAGGACGACCUCGGCCACGCCGCCGCCGCCGAGUUCGGCCAUGACUCCGCAUGCUACACGCGCUGCGACGUGACGGACGAGGCGCAGGUCGCCGCGGCCGUGGACCUAGCCGUGGCGCGGCACGGCCGCCUCGACGUCAUGUUCAACAACGCCGGCAUCAGCGGCGCCCUCACGCCCGUGCCCCUCGGCUCCCUGGACCUCGCCGACUUCGACCGCGUCAUGGCAGUCAAUGCGCGGGCCGUGCUCGCGGGCGUCAAGCACGCCGCGCGCGUCAUGGUCCCCAACCGCCGCGGGAGCAUCAUCUGCACGGCCAGCACGGCGGCGGUGCUGGGAGGCGUGGCGUUCCCGGCGUACAGCGUGUCGAAGGCGGCCGUGGUGGGGCUCGUGCGCGCCGUGGCCGGGGAGAUGGCGCGCGCCGGGGUGCGCGUGAACGCCAUCUCGCCUAACUACAUCCCGACGCCGAUGGUCAUGGGGUACAUGGCCGAGUCCUACCCCGGGGCGAGCGCCGAGGAGCGCAGGCGGAUCGUGGAGCGGGACAUGAACGAGAUGGGCGGGCCGGCGCUCGCGGUGGAGGACGUGGCCCGUGCGGCGGUGUACCUGGCGUCCGACGAGGCCGGGUACGUGAACGGGCAUAACCUCGUCGUUGACGGCGGGUUCACCGUCGGCAAGACGCCGAAAAUGCCGGCGCCGUGACGUUGACAGGUCUUGAUGCGAUGAAGUGUUUUGCCUUGGACCAACCGGACAUGACUGCAGAAGGGUGAUGACGCUGACAAGCUUCGCUCAGGUGCCGAGAUGAUCAGGGCCAGCACAAUGCAGCUGAUGAGACUUUGCGGGACUACUGCCCAGUCGAUUGGAGGAGCGUGAAGAUCGUGAUGGAUGUACACUGUUUUGAGGGCGGACGAAGUGGAGUGUUCUGCUGGGAGGGCCAUCUUCCUCAUAGUAGCUUUCCUCUUUUGAUUGAUGAUAUAUUUUGGUGUGUUGGCAUGUAUCUCUCUCUGGGUGUCGUGGAACAUAGUACUCAGAUAGAUGUAGGUGUUAUCAGGUUUUCGCCCCACAGCGUUCGGGUCGACGGCGACCGAAUGACAGUGGGUUUCCUGGUAAUACUUGAACCCGCCUUACCUCUUUCCCCCUCUCUCUGACUCUGUAUUCGGAACUGGUUGUAUUUCCGUUGUUUGCAAUGGAAAGGGGUAACGCCCGAUUCAAAAAAAUAUA
RNA transcript from Triticum urartu, 1543 nucleotides. It is a transcript of the gene named momilactone A synthase-like, with no coding region annotated. Lineage: Eukaryota; Viridiplantae; Streptophyta; Magnoliopsida; Poales; Poaceae. The record is from RefSeq and is a predicted model, not a curated record.